Molecule: ribosomal RNA, 468 nt
Filed under: uncultured bacterium
Lineage: Bacteria
Description: bacterial SSU rRNA
Rfam family: Bacterial small subunit ribosomal RNA
Source: RNAcentral
AUUGAACGCUGGCGGCAUGCCUUACACAUGCAAGUCGAACGGCAGCACGGGAGCAAUCCUGGUGGCGAGUGGCGAACGGGUGAGUAAUAUAUCGGAACGUGCCCAGUCGUGGGGAUAACGUAGCGAAAGCUACGCUAAUACCGCAUACGAUCUAUGGAUGAAAGCGGGGGAUCGCAAGACCUCGCGCGAUUGGAGCGGCCGAUAUCAGAUUAGGUAGUUGGUGAGGUAAAGGCUCACCAAGCCGACGAUCUGUAGCUGGUCUGAGAGGACGACCAGCCACACUGGGACUGAGACACGGCCCAGACUCCUACGGGAGGCAGCAGUGGGGAAUAUUGGACAAUGGCGAAAGCCUGAUCCAGCAAUGCCGCGUGAGUGAUGAAGGCCUUAGGGCUGUAAAGCUCUUUUUACUGGGGAUGAUAAUGACAGUACCCAGAGAAUAAGCUCCGGCUAACUCCGUGCCAGCAGCCG